GAAAAGAAACCAACAGGGAUUGCCUCAGUAACGGCGAGUGAAGCGGCAAUAGCUCAAAUUUGAAAUCUGGCCCUUUCAGGGUCCGAGUUGUAAUUUGCAGAGGGCGCUUUGGAGUCGGCAGCAGCCUAAGUUCCUUGGAACAGGUCAUCAUAGAGGGUGAGAAUCCCGUAUGUGGCUGCUUGCCUUCGCCGUGUAAAGCCCCUUCGAUGAGUCGAGUUGUUUGGGAAUGCAGCUCUAAAUGGGAGGUAAAUUUCUUCUAAAGCUAAAUAUUGGCCAGAGACCGAUAGCGCACAAGUAGAGUGAUCGAAAGAUGAAAAGCACUUUGGAAAGAGAGUCAAAAAGCACGUGAAAUUGUUGAAAGGGAAGCGCUUGCAGCCAGACGUGCCCGUAGUUGCUCAUCUGGGGUUCUCCCCAGUGCACUCUUCUAUGGGCAGGCCAGCAUCAGUCCGGGCGGUUGGAGAAAGACCUGUGUCACGUAGCUCUCUUCGGGGAGUGUUAUAGGGCAGGUGGAAUGCAACCAGCCUGGACUGAGGUCCGCGCAUCUGCUAGGAUGCUGGCGUAAUGGCUGUAAGCGGCCCGUCUUGAAACACGGACCAAGGAGUCUAACAUCUAUGCGAGUGUUUGGGUGUCAAGCCCGAGCGCGUAAUGAAAGUGAACGGAGGUGGGAACCCCUCGGGGUGCACCAUCGACCGAUCCUGAUGUCUUCGGAUGGAUUUGAGUAAGAGCAUAGCUGUUGGGACCCGAAAGAUGGUGAACUAUGCCUGAAUAGGGUGAAGCCAGAGGAAACUCUGGUGGAGGCUCGCAGCGGUUCUGACGUGCAAAUCGAUCGUCAAAUUUGGGCAUAGGGGCGAAAGACUAAUCGAACUAUCUAGUAGCUGGUUCCUGCCGA
Molecule: ribosomal RNA, 889 nt
Filed under: Xenostigmina zilleri
Lineage: Eukaryota; Fungi; Ascomycota; Dothideomycetes; Mycosphaerellales; Mycosphaerellaceae
Description: eukaryotic LSU rRNA
Rfam family: Eukaryotic large subunit ribosomal RNA
Source: RNAcentral